Molecule: long non-coding RNA, 197 nt
Organism: Solanum tuberosum (potato)
Lineage: Eukaryota; Viridiplantae; Streptophyta; Magnoliopsida; Solanales; Solanaceae
Exons: 3
Source: RefSeq, a predicted model, not a curated record
UAAGCACAAUAAGACCAUCUUGAUUCUUAAUUUUCUCUUUUGUUUCAAUGGCUUCUUCAAGAAGGGGUUUUACUUCACAACAAGAACUUGUCAUCAAAGAAUUCGAGAGAUAUCAAGCACUUAUCAAAACAUUGAAGGAAAUAGAAAAGGUGACACAUAUGCUUCAACAUUCAUUGCUCUACAAGAAGAACACAUUG